Molecule: long non-coding RNA, 1710 nt
Organism: Mytilus californianus (California mussel)
Lineage: Eukaryota; Metazoa; Mollusca; Bivalvia; Mytilida; Mytilidae
Exons: 2
Source: RefSeq, a predicted model, not a curated record
AUAAAUAUAAGAAAUAAGUUAGAUCUUGUAAAGUAACCUAGUUAUAUAAGAAGUACAGGGGAAUACGAACAAGACAAGAAAGGACAUACAUGUUUUGAUAGUGAUAAAUUCCGAAACUACAUUUUAUUUUUCACAUUAAAAAUACUAAAGGUCAGAAGCUAACGCUCAUUAAUAGUUUUGAAUAAACAGCUACAUCAAAAUAUACAAAGGAACAAGAAAGAAACCAGCUAAAACGGAAUCGAAGUGCGUAUUAAACUUUACAGAUUGCAUGAAACAAACAUGUGGAAACUGCUUCAAAUACUUUGGGAUGUUACUCGCCUUCGUAAUCUUUGUUGGGCUCAUAGUAUUCCUGGCUAGGAUAAUGCCAAGUGGCGAUAAAGUAACAUUGCGGCAUCAAUCAAAUAACACUCCAUCAACUCGUCGGCCACAACUACUAUAUAAACCUUAUAUAGGGAAGCCACCAGUGUGUCGUAUGAGUUGGGUGAGCUGGUUUAACGUGAAUGUCACUGAAUUUGUUUCUUAUGAUCACAAGACAAACAGAUUUACCGUACAAGAAAGCAACAUUUUAUCACUUCGAUUAUCACUUAAAAUUGAUGGGGAAAAUGUGAGGAAAGACACGAUUAACGUUGUGUGUAUUGAAUAUAGUGACGAGACACAGAAAUGUAAGGCGACACUUUUCAAAAAGGGGGAACAUGGGGUACUAUAUAUCAAAGACAAAAUAUUCGCACUCCCUGGAUUCACAUUUACUAUAACAGUUCUACAUACCACUAUACUUAAAAGACAUAGUAAACACAAUAGCUUGAUAAUAGCCAAGUCAUUUACUAGUGGCCCGGAAUAACCGUAUUAUUACGCAUAGCACCAUUCUACCUCAAUCGUAUUUACAAUGCUCAUUUCAUAUGAUAUACGACUUCCGUUAAAGAUCUAAAGAAGCCAAAUGAAGAAAAUCAAAGUUUAAAAGGAGAACAAUUGUGCAAGUGGCGACAUCAGUCCAGUUAUAUCAAAAUGUACGCACCUGCUAAUGAAAAUAGACACACUAGGAUAUGUGAAUGAAAUGAUUUGAUAUGCAAUAACGAAAAAACGAAAAAUAAAUGUACUAUAUGUUUUCAGAGCUAUCAGAGAAGUAAAGUUUUACUCCCAUGUAUGUCUUGACGUUUGUACUGUAUUGCUGAUUUCACAAUGAUUUCAUGUUCCCCUUAUUAUUUACCAUGAUUUAAGGAUGUUCGCUCCUCUUGUUUUUGAAUUUUUGCCAGAUAUUCGGAAUCCUCUGGUUUUAUCCAUGUAGUGCCAUUAAGAUAAAUUCCCCACUAACCCCUACUUUUCCUUUCAUAAUUUUAUUACAUAUAGUUUACAAAGCCAUCUUUGAAAAUGCUAUAAAAUCCUUGUUAUUUUUCAUAAUUUUUGGAAGAAAAAGGGUGCCAAUGUUAUAUGUAUGAAAAGUCUAGAGAGAAUUAUUUCCGCCAAAUUUUUAAUAACUUAUAUCUCGAAAACAAGCACACGGACCCUUAAUUUUUUCCUGCUUUUUUAGUUCCAUUAUUUAUAUACUAUCAGUUUAUAACAGUCUUUAAAAAGCUUUAUAUUUUGAAACAGAGUAGCGAACAUCCUUAACGUCCAAUAUGUGUUCAAUAAAUGUAUGUAUUCUAGACUUAUACUCUUUUUACUACUGAUGAACAAGACUGAAAAAAUAAAAAUAAUAAAAGCGUAAAGCAUGUU